Long non-coding RNA from Sinocyclocheilus grahami, 87 nucleotides. RefSeq lists it as uncharacterized. The record is from RefSeq and is a predicted model, not a curated record. The transcript is spliced from 3 exons. Lineage: Eukaryota; Metazoa; Chordata; Actinopteri; Cypriniformes; Cyprinidae.
CACAAAUCCGCACAAACGAAUGGCAUAGUUUUGGUGAUUAUUUAUUUUUAUGGGGUGCCAACUUCACGGAGGUUUGUUCUGGUUGCA